AACUGGCGCAAGCCUGACGGAGCAAUGCCGCGUGGAGGUAGAAGGCCCAUCGGGUCGUGAACUUCUUUUCCCGGAGAAGAAGCAAUGACGGUAUCUGGGGAAUAAAGCCAUCGGCUAACUCUGUGCCAGCCGCCGCGGUAAUAUAAUACGUA
This 152-nucleotide ribosomal RNA is filed under the name uncultured bacterium. Its description in RNAcentral is "partial 16S ribosomal RNA". It matches the Rfam family "Bacterial small subunit ribosomal RNA", at positions 370 to 529 of the family's 1533-position model. The record is from RNAcentral.